This 906-nucleotide long non-coding RNA is filed under the name Homo sapiens (human). Its description in RNAcentral is "HSALNT0192406". Lineage: Eukaryota; Metazoa; Chordata; Mammalia; Primates; Hominidae. The record is from RNAcentral.
GACAGAGACAGCUUCUUGGAACUGGGAACCUCGAUUCUACAACUAAAGGAAGUGAAAAAUGCCAACAAUCCUGUGAUCUUCGGAGGGCACCCAGGACUUCAGAUGAGACACCAUGAUUGCUGCCUUGGAAGACCCUGCCAGAAGAAUCGGUUAAGGAGAUCUGUCCAAUGAUGACAAUGAGGUGUUGAAUUCUUCAGCUAUUAUUGUAUUGAGGUAUUGAGGAAAGUAAAAGGUACAUUUGUUUCAUUGAGUCAGACAAUGGAGGUGAAGCUGUUAAGAAAAAAUAAACUCCAUACAAGGUUGCAUACUUCCUGCUCAUCUACUCUUUCCAGACUUCCUUCCAUGGAGCUCCUCUUUUGCCUCCUAGCAGCGGGACUGACAGCCGGUGUUACACACUUUGAUGGCACUAACUGCAUGUUAGAAUUGUGUGGCAAAGAACUGAAGGCAUCAGUCCAAAAGCCCAAAGAACUAAAUACCGCCAACAACCCCAUGAACUUGGAAGUGGGUCCUUUCCCAGUGAGCUCUGGAGAUGACAAAAGACAGACAACACCUUGAUUGUAGUCUGUGAGAAAACCUGAAGCAGAAGACCCAGCUAACUUGUGCUCAGAUUCCUGACCAAUACAAAUUGUGAGACAAAUGUGUAAUUUUUUAAGCCAAGUUUUUGAUAAUGUAAUAUGAAGUGAUAGAUAACUAAUACAAAAUAGAGAACUGGAUACAUAUGUUCACGAGCUAUUCUGGCAUAAAAAUACAUUCAAUAAAAAACUUGUUGCUACUCUGUAUUUCCCUCAUCUCAUUGACAUCAUCCUAUCCUUUAUCUUUCAUAUAAAUAUCUGUGUAAAAUUUGUCAACAAAUGGUGUGAAAAUGAAGAGAAAGCAGAACAGUAGAAAUAAAAGAGGACUUGUUUA